AAAAGAGUGGAAGGAGGUGAGCGCGGCGAGGACCGAGGCGAAGGAGGGUCAGUGCGGAAACUCGGUGUGAGGGGCCGAGUGAGGAAGGUUCCUGCAGGGCGGGGACCCGGUUUUAGGAGGUCGCGGCCCUGCCUUUACCGGAGGGCGAGUCCCCGCCAAGCCCGGGCUUUGGAGAUGUACCGAAGAGGGGAGGGAGGACUAGGUACAGAAAUAAACCGCGGAGCAAGAAGCACACAGUGCCGAAGACAGAAAGCCGGAGAAGUCGAAACCGCCUCCUCAGCCUCUGGGGGAGCGUGGUAGGGGAAGAGUCACAGACUGACCCUACGUCUCCCGCCGGGAACCAACUGCAGUGGUACACCCCACGGAAAGCUACGUCUCCUUACCGACGGCGCACGCCCCAACAGACUACAACUCCCAGAAGCCCCCGCCCGCGUUCCGGCGACAGCGUGGCAGCACGGGCCGCUUCCUUAUCCGAGAAAUUAACAACAUAAAGAAGAAAAUGUUUGCGAAGAAGAUUUUAUGUGAUCAAUCAACAAAGACAUGAAGCAUGGAGAUUUUGAGAAAGGUCAGGAAACUAUAGAGAAAGACAGGU
Molecule: small RNA, 592 nt
Filed under: Pan troglodytes (chimpanzee)
Lineage: Eukaryota; Metazoa; Chordata; Mammalia; Primates; Hominidae
Description: processed transcript
Source: RNAcentral